CGAAUGCUGACAUAAGUAACGAUAAAGCGGGUGAAAAGCCCGCUCGCCGGAAGACCAAGGGUUCCUGUCCAACGUUAAUCGGGGCAGGGUGAGUCGACCCCUAAGGCGAGGCCGAAAGGCGUAGUCGAUGGGAAACAGGUUAAUAUUCCUGUACUUGGUGUUACUGCGAAGGGGGGACGGAGAAGGCUAUGUUGGCCGGGCGACGGUUGUCCCGGUUUAAGCGUGUAGGCUGGUUUUCCAGGCAAAUCCGGAAAAUCAAGGCUGAGGCGUGAUGACGAGGCACUACGGUGCUGAAGCAACAAAUGCCCUGCUUCCAGGAAAAGCCUCUAAGCAUCAGGUAACAUCAAAUCGUACCCCAAACCGACACAGGUGGUCAGGUAGAGAAUACCAAGGCGCUUGAGAGAACUCGGGUGAAGGAACUAGGCAAAAUGGUGCCGUAACUUCGGGAGAAGGCACGCUGAUAUGUAGGUGAAGCGACUUGCUCGUGGAGCUGAAAUCAGUCGAAGAUACCAGCUGGCUGCAACUGUUUAUUAAA
This 535-nucleotide ribosomal RNA is filed under the name Escherichia coli. RNAcentral's name for it is "partial 23S ribosomal RNA". It matches the Rfam family "Bacterial large subunit ribosomal RNA", at positions 1291 to 1811 of the family's 2925-position model. Lineage: Bacteria; Pseudomonadati; Pseudomonadota; Gammaproteobacteria; Enterobacterales; Enterobacteriaceae. The record is from RNAcentral.